Molecule: long non-coding RNA, 263 nt
Organism: Zea mays
Lineage: Eukaryota; Viridiplantae; Streptophyta; Magnoliopsida; Poales; Poaceae
Exons: 3
Source: RefSeq, a predicted model, not a curated record
GUUUGGGCAUUUUGCUUGGGAAAUGGCUAUGCUGGAUUGAAGGAUGCUCUUGGUUCAAAUGAUUCCAGACUUCAAAGUUCCAAAUUAUAUUUCACAUGCAUGUCGCUAGCCGGGAUGCUACUUCAGUGAGACAUUGAAGCCCAUAUCAGAAGAGCACCAGGCAAGAGUUGGAGAACUAGGAGUCUUCGGCUGUCGCUACGGCCUUCGGAUUGCUCCUGUAUUCUUCAAUGGACAAUCCUUGACACGGUCACAUAAGCACAACA